Vidua chalybeata is the source of this 711-nucleotide long non-coding RNA. RefSeq lists it as uncharacterized. The record is from RefSeq and is a predicted model, not a curated record. NCBI's taxonomy places the organism in Eukaryota, Metazoa, Chordata, Aves, Passeriformes, Viduidae. The transcript is spliced from 4 exons.
CCCUGGCCAAGAUGGGCAGGAGAUUCCCUGCUCCCUAGGGCCAUUUUCUGCUUCCAUGUCCUAUUCAGCUGGCAGGCAUUGCCCCAAGCCCAGAAGCUGCUGAGGGACCUACUUAUUUUCCUUUCAGCCCCAGGGCUCAUCAGGAAGCACCAAAUCCAUGUCACAAGAGGUUCUUCAGCAGGAAGCCCUUUCUGAAGACUUGCACAUCUUUUCCUGAUGCAUGGAGUCAAAUAUCUGCACUUGUCUGGAAACAGUUUGUCAUAUGAAAAAUAUGAAAAUACUUCUCCUCCUUCUGGGUGGAAUGCAGGAGGUAACUGUCUCCCUGGAAUGGGAAAAAUCAAUGAAAGCUAAUAAUAUCUUACUGUAUCAUCCCUGAAGCCCACUAUGCUAGCUUGCAGGAGACCAGAGGUGACAAUGUCUCCCAGCCCUUGGGAGGAGCCCACCCAUCCCAUUUGUGCCAUCCAUGGAAAAUCUGCAGGCAGAGACAGCUUGCAGUUUUCUUUUAUGGCUAUCACUGUUCAGAUGGGGUUUCCCUGCAAGUCCUGUUGAGCUUGAUUAGACUGGAGUAGAAGACUGGAGUAGAAGAAAUCAACUUCCCCAGCAAUCUGAAAACAGCAAGGAAUGUAAAAGAAUCCUCAGCUCUGCCCAGCUAUUUAAGGAGCAUUGAAAGACUUCAGAAAUAUUUCUGAGGCUUUUUCUCGCACUUUUUGG